GAGCGGCGAACGGGUGAGUAACACGUGAGCAACCUGCCCCAAGCUUUGGGCNUAANCCUCGGAAACGGGGGCUAAUACCGAAUAGGACUUCUUGGNNGCAUGGCUGGUGGUGGAAAGUUUUUCGGCUUGGGAUGGGCUCGCGGCCUAUCAGCUUGUUGGUGGGGUGAUGGCCUACCAAGGCGACGACGGGUAGCCGGCCUGAGAGGGCGACCGGCCACACUGGGACUGAGACACGGCCCAGACUCCUACGGGAGGCAGCAGUGGGGAAUAUUGCACAAUGGGCGGAAGCCUGAUGCAGCGACGCCGCGUGAGGGAUGACGGCCUUCGGGUUGUAAACCUCUUUCAGCAGGGACGAAGCGAGAGUGACGGUACCUGCAGAAGAAGCACCGGCCAACUACGUGCCAGCAGCCGCGGUAAGACGUAGGGUGCGAGCGUUGUCCGGAUUUAUUGGGCGUAAAGAGCUCGUAGGCGGCUUGUCGCGUCGACCGUGAAAACUUGGGGCUCAACCCCAAGCCUGCGGUCGAUACGGGCAGGCUAGAGUUCGGUAGGGGAGACUGGAAUUCCU
This 565-nucleotide ribosomal RNA is filed under the name Micromonospora sp. 334H11. Its description in RNAcentral is "bacterial SSU rRNA". It matches the Rfam family "Bacterial small subunit ribosomal RNA", at positions 93 to 671 of the family's 1533-position model. The record is from RNAcentral. Lineage: Bacteria; Bacillati; Actinomycetota; Actinomycetes; Micromonosporales; Micromonosporaceae.